This 207-nucleotide ribosomal RNA is filed under the name uncultured bacterium. RNAcentral's name for it is "partial 16S ribosomal RNA". It matches the Rfam family "Bacterial small subunit ribosomal RNA", at positions 568 to 774 of the family's 1533-position model. The record is from RNAcentral.
CGCGUAGGUGGUCCGAUAAGUUUUGCGUAAAAUGCCAGAGCUCAACUUUGGCGCUGCGUGAAAUACUGUUGGACUAGAGGGUGUGAGAGGCAAAUGGAACUCACGGUGUAGGGGUGAAAUCCGUUGAUAUCGUGGGGAACACCGAAGGCGAAGGCAAUUUGCUGGCACACUCCUGACACUCAGUGCGCGAAAGCGUGGGAGCAAAAA